This 423-nucleotide unclassified non-coding RNA is filed under the name soil metagenome. RNAcentral describes it as "partial contains 5.8S ribosomal RNA, internal transcribed spacer 2, and large subunit ribosomal RNA". The stretch from base 1 to 120 matches the Rfam family "5.8S ribosomal RNA", at positions 35 to 154 of the family's 154-position model. The record is from RNAcentral.
GAUGAAGAACGUAGCGAAAUGCGAUACGUAAUGUGAAUUGCAGAAUUCAGUGAAUCAUCGAAUCUUUGAACGCAUAUUGCGCUCUCUGGUAUUCCGGAGAGCAUGCUUGUUUGAGUAUCAGUAAACACCUCAACUCCCUUUCUUCUUGAAAUGGAGCUGGACUUGAGUGAUCCCAACGCUUUAUUCAUAAAGUGGCGGGUUACUUGAAAUGCAGGUGCAGCUGGACUUUUCUCUGAGCUAUAAGCAUAUCUAUUUAGUCUGCCUCAAAACAGAUUAUUACCUUUGCUGCAGCUAACAUAAAGGAGAUUAGUUCUUGUGCUGACUGAUGCAGGAUUCACAAAGACCGCUUCGGCUGUCUUUGUAAACUCGAUCUCAAAUCAAGUAAGACUACCCGCUGAACUUAAGCAUAUCAAUAAGCGGAGG